This 388-nucleotide ribosomal RNA is filed under the name uncultured bacterium. RNAcentral's name for it is "bacterial SSU rRNA". It matches the Rfam family "Bacterial small subunit ribosomal RNA", at positions 29 to 408 of the family's 1533-position model. The record is from RNAcentral.
AAUGAACGCUGGCGGCGCGCCUAAUACAUGCAAGUCGAGCGAGAAGACGUAGCAAUACGUUUGUAAAGCGGCGAACGGGUGAGGAAUACAUGGGUAACCUACCCUAGAGUGGGGAAUAACUAGCCGAAGGUUAGCUAAUACCGCGUACGCUCCUUGGACUUCGGUUCAGGGAGGAAAGCGAUGCCGAGGGUAUCGCGCUCUUGGAUGGGCUCAUGUCCUAUCAGCUGUUGGUGAGGUAACGGCUCACCAAGGCUUCGACGGGUAGCUGGUCUGAGAGGACGAUCAGCCACACUGGCACUGCGACACGGGCCAGACUCCUACGGGAGGCAGCAGUAAGGAAUAUUGCGCAAUGGGCGAAAGCCUGACGCAGCGACGCCGCGGUGGGGGA